GUGGGGAAUAUUGGGCAAUGGGCGAAAGCCUGACCCAGCAACGCCGCGUGAAGGAAGAAGGUUUUCGGAUCGUAAACUUCUAUCCUUGGUGAAGAUAAUGACGGUAGCCAAGAAGGAAGCCCCGGCUAACUACGUGCCAGCAGCCGCGGUAAUACGUAGGGGGCAAGCGUUGUCCGGAAUGAUUGGGCGUAAAGGGCGCGUAGGCGGCCCGGUAAGUCUGAAGUGAAAGUCCUGCUUUUAAGGUGGGAAUUGCUUUGGAUACUGUCGUGCUUGAGUGCAGGAGAGGUAAGCGGAAGUCCCGGUGUAGCUGUGAAAUGCGUAGAGAUCGGGAGGAACACCAGUGGCGAAGGCGGCUUACUGGACUGUAACUGACGCUGAGGCGCGAAAGUGUGGGGAGCAAACAGGAUUAGAUACCCGAGUAGUCC
This 425-nucleotide ribosomal RNA is filed under the name uncultured bacterium. RNAcentral's name for it is "partial 16S ribosomal RNA". It matches the Rfam family "Bacterial small subunit ribosomal RNA", at positions 354 to 796 of the family's 1533-position model. The record is from RNAcentral.